GAAAUGCGAUAAGUAGUGUGAAUUGCAGAAUUCAGUGAAUCAUCGAAUCUUUGAACGCACAUUGCGCCCCUUGGUAUUCCAUGGGGCAUGCCUGUUCGAGCGUCAUCUACACCCUCAAGCUCUGCUUGGUGUUGGUCGUCUUUGUCCCGCCUCCGCGCGCGGACUCGCCCCAAAUUCAUUGGCAGCGGUCCUUGCCUCCUCUCGCGCAGCACAUUGCGCUUCUCGAGGUGUUGCGGCCCGCGUCCAGAAAGCAAUCGUUACCGUCUUUGACCUCGGAUCAGGUAGGGAUACCCGCUGAACUUAAGC
RNAcentral lists this unclassified non-coding RNA (306 nucleotides) under plant metagenome. RNAcentral's name for it is "partial contains 5.8S ribosomal RNA, internal transcribed spacer 2, and large subunit ribosomal RNA". The stretch from base 1 to 105 matches the Rfam family "5.8S ribosomal RNA", at positions 50 to 154 of the family's 154-position model. The record is from RNAcentral.